GGUGGCUUCCGGCCGCCAGGCGAGACUCCGCGGGAAAACUCCCUGCUAGAGAGACUAGGAGAUUUGGGGCUGCGGCCGUUUCCUCCGGAGCACCCACGGGACUGUGUGCUGGGGUCCCUCCACCGGCUGUGUCCUUUAUUCUUCUUUCUCACCCAACGAUUUACCUGAACGGUUAUAAAGUGCACGUUAUUUCCCUAAGGUCCUUCUUACUGAUGUGUUGCUCUUCUUCAUGGCUCGUGAAAACUAUUAGAGUCAUCCAAGGUUUGGAGACAGAAAGGAGCACCGCCAAGUGAGGCAGAGCAGUCUCAGAAACAUAGGAAAAUGGUGGGAAGAGAGAUCAGCAACGUUAACUGGGUGUCAAGAAAACAUACCGAGAUUGAAGCCAUCCACUUCUGCAGGAACACCGAAAAGAAAGGACUGUGAAGACAACCAGAGUGGGAAGGAACCUCAGAAACCUUUGGACCAACAGAGGAAAAAGCCCAGAGGUGCAGGACAUAGAUCAAAACCAGUCGCAUGCGAGUCAUUCUAGGAUCCGGCCAAAGUUAAUUAACAGAGGGCCAUUCAGUCUCCACCGAGUCAAACAAUAAUUAGGAUGAAACAAUCCUAUUAACCCAUGGAUUUAAUGUCUACAAAGCAGAAAGUAGAAUAACUUGGACUUAAAGGCUGAAUGACCCAUUUCUUCAGCCUCCUCUCAAAGGCAAUAUUUCUCAGCCCUUCAGUCAUUUUCAUUGCUCUCUUCUGGCCUCUCUCCAAGAUUCUGUAUCUUGUUUAAAUAGUGAAGUCCAACACCGAACAUGAUUUAAGAACAGUCAUGCCUGGAAAAGUAACAAAGGCCCAACGAAUACGGACUCCAGAAAGUAAACAUUUUCUCAAAAACAAAAGUAUUGUAAUAUUAAUAAUGGUAGUAAGAAUUAGGUUGACCAAAUAAAAUCAUUUUUGUUGCCC
This 945-nucleotide long non-coding RNA is filed under the name Homo sapiens (human). Its description in RNAcentral is "HSALNT0233327". Lineage: Eukaryota; Metazoa; Chordata; Mammalia; Primates; Hominidae. The record is from RNAcentral.